GGCUCCCAGAGCUGGGGAGAAGAAGACGCGGUCUUGCCGGCUGCUGCUGCCCCCGGUCUGAAAGAAGGAGGAAAGGGCCAUCAUUGGAGGGCUUUCAGUGCCAAAAUGCGGGCCAGCCAGGCAAGGUCAAAGGUCCUGGACCGCGGGAGACCAAGGUAAUGAUGAUGUCAUGAGAAACCUCAAGUACACACGGCUAUUGAUAUGCAUGAGCGACCAGCCACCGGAGCCGGGACCGAGCCCGGUCUCGCCUCCAGCAUCGCCGCCUCCGCCGUCUUGGCGCGGGGGAUCCGCCCGCCGCUGUCACCUUCCUCCUCCUCGGCAGCGCAGACCGCUUCAACAUCCAGAGGCCGGGAGGCAGGACGCUCUCCCCCGGGGCGGGAAGCAGCCUGCCCGGCCCCGGGGAGAGCAGGGGAGCCCCGAGGAGCCCGCGCUCCUCUUCGGGCAGCCCCCGCCGGUGCGCAGCGAUGCCGCGGCGGGAGCGAGGCCUGGUACUCAGAGGCCGGGAGCAGGGCUGUGCUACGCAAGUGAAGAAAUGCAUGCUGAUGUUACUCACAGAAUGAACGAAGGCAAGUCUUUCUAAACUGUUAGGAUGUGUUAUGUGCAGUUUUAGGAUUUAAGCCUCUCAGUUUCCCCUUCCCCACUCCCCCAAAAGAACAUUACACUUUGAAUUAUUUAACAAUAUAAUUUACUUGGAAUUUUUGUUACUCUGAAGUGCAAACUUUAAAGGCCUCCUGAGUAUGUGUGACGUAAUGAACUUUCUCACUGAGAUCUACCAUAUUUUCUGUAGAAAUUAAAAAAUACACUUCAACAGCUGCAGUGUGCUGUGGUCAGUAUAACACACACACCAAAAAAUUCAGCACACACAGACUAUAGAGUGCUCUGAACUCCUAAAGGAAUAACAAUUUAAAAUUCAUCCUGCUACUCCUCUUCUAAGUGCAAAAUAUAACACAGCAUAUCAUGCACUAUGUUCCUGCACAAUUAGUUAAUAUGUCACAUUGCAUUUAAAUACAUUUUUUUGUAAAUUAACCUGUGUUUGCAUAGGUUGCUAAUUUUUAGGUGGAAUUUUUUGAAUGCAUGGAGUCAAACUAAAGUUGUUGUUGCUCUGUGUUGGCUGCAGAGCUUGCUUGUAUGAUAAAGGAAAUGUGUGCUUGUGUGUACACAGGGGAGCCAUAUGUACAUGUGUCAGUCUAGGUACAUGUGUGUGUAUAUGUUUGAGCUAAAAUAUAUAUGCACAUGCAUGUAGUUACAUCAUAAAAUAUCAAGUAACCAGCCCAUUUUUUAUCAUAAUUACAAAAGCAUGAAAACAGGGAAGUAAUCUCUUUUGUCAGACACUGCUCAAAAUUAAUACUGUCAUCAAGAAGUGUCACGAAGACAUUGCUAAUCUGCCAGUCUGCUAAGUCUCAAAUACUGCAGAAAUAUUGCUAAUUUAUUUCUCCUUCCAGAUUCUAAGCCUUUGAAAUCAAGCAUUUCUUUUUUAAAACAAGUAUUAUUUAUCCUCAUAUAGACUGCUUUUUUGCAACCAGUGCUUUUUACUUGAGAGACAUAAGAGCUCAUUGUGCCAGUCUUCUUUGUGGAAAAUUGAGAGACUCACACAAAAUGGUUAGAAUACUUAUAAUGCUGCAUUAUGAGUUACUGAACUUCUUCAUUACCUCUCAGGCUGUUCAGGCACAACGGGAGCAACUGAAUCAGACAUCUGAUACAUCCAGAGGCACACGAUCACUUUGAUAUUAUGUAAAAUUCUAACGAGCUUUUCUGAAUUGGUAGAUAGGCAGAAAGAUGUGGUUUUUAUGGCAAUAGCUAGGGGCAGUAGUGCUGGUGAUCAAGCAUGUGUUGCAUAGGACAGGCUUAUGAGCUUAUGGAUUAAAUUCUUUCAGUCAGAGGCAUGGAACUUCAAGUGCUCCUUGUGUAUGUGUGUGUGUGUGUGUAUGCUUAUAUAGGUGUCUAUGUACAUAUAUAGGUGUAUAUGUACAUAUCUGCAUAUAACCAUAUUAACACAGAUGGAUAUGUACAUGUUAAUGCAAGCCUGUCACCAGAUGUCACAUGUCACCGGAUUUACACUUAAAUGCAAGGUAUAUUAUUGCAAAUGGGUAUUUCCAAAGAUGUAAGGUGUACCUUCAAAACACCAAGCCCUGUUCUCACAACCACCUCACUUACAUUCUGACUUACUCUGAAGUAACUGCAAUACACACGUUUUGUUGAUUACUCAUUGGAGCAGGUCAAAAGAGCCAACAUGAUGGUUAUGAUGUAGCUGAUCAUUAGCCAUAUUACGGAUUACAUUUUCUAGCUCUCAGGCACUUAGUAAGGCCUUAAAAUCAUCGGGUGUCCAUUAAGUAUUUGCUUAUUCUGAAUAUUACAAAAAUGUAUGCAGCAGUUUAAGGUACAUUUCCAAGACUUCAAUGUGGAAAGUUUAAGCAAUGCACAGUUUUGAAAAUUCUGCCCAAAACAUCACCUGAAUUGUCAAAAACAACAGUUGACACAGCCUGCUCUCUUCCAGUUUACAUAAUUGAAUAAAACUUAUUUAUUCCAAAGUCACUGUAGAAACAUCAGCCUAUUGGAAGACAUGGAAUACAAACACUGACUUUUUCCUCCUAGUUACCUACUAAAUUUCCACUAGUGGCCUGCAGAUUAGUAUGUGAUUGCCAUGCUUGCUUUCUAGUCUUUUUAUAGGUCUGCAGACAGCUAUGACAUAAAGAAGAAAUAUCCUGCAUGGACUUUUUAAGAAUAAACAGCCUCUAUUGACUUUAAAGAGGAAUGCUUAUGAUUCUCUAAUCAUUGCAAUCAGAUCCCCAUCCUAUCUCCAGCAUCCCCAACUUCUGUGUGGAAGACACACAGGAAUCCCCCUUAAGCUGCUGUGAGGUACCUAAGAGGGCGUAGUGUUACAUAAAUUCCAUUUUCACACUAAAUUAUGGCAGAAUUCAUGUAGAGUUAAACCACCAUGGCAUGCCAGUACAGCCCGGGCCACCUCUCCUUGUAGAGCAGCAUCCCUUUCCUCCCAGCCAGGGAGCAACAGUGUUCUUAGAUGUUACAGUGAAGGAGUUUCACCCGUUCCAUGGACCAGUGUGGACUGGGGUUGUUGAAGGAUUUUGACCACUUUUUUGGUGGAUAGAGAGAUGUGAGGGGACACUCCUGGGCCAUGGUGAGCGGCCGGGCUUCACCCUUCUGCCAGGUACGCUCCUGAGCUGAGCAUUUUGGCCAGGAUGGAUUUGGAGAACCCGGGAAGUGAUGGCUGCUUGUUCUGAGUGAUCCACUAUGUGGGAGGCACUGGAUGAACAAACUGCUGUGAGCAAUCCCUUGCACCUCGACCAGCUGCAAGAUAUGCCUCCAACUUCUCUCCUUCCCCCUCCUUUUUUUCCUGCCCAUUUCCCUCCCCCCUUUAUGUUUUUUUUUUUCUCCAGUUCUUUUUUUUAGUUUUGUUGUUGUUGUUGCUUUUUGGUUGUUUUUUUUAAGUUCAACUAUGUAAAGGCCUGUUAUACUU
RNA transcript from Chiroxiphia lanceolata (lance-tailed manakin), 3475 nucleotides. It is a transcript of the gene named proline-rich proteoglycan 2-like, with no coding region annotated. The record is from RefSeq and is a predicted model, not a curated record. Lineage: Eukaryota; Metazoa; Chordata; Aves; Passeriformes; Pipridae. The transcript is spliced from 3 exons.